CACUGUGUAGAACUAAGAUAUCAUUUAUUGCAACAGUUGCUGAGGAAUCCAUCAUCUCCUAGAAACCAUUUUGAUUAUAAGGGAAUUUCAAACAAUUAAAACGUCACAAUAUUCUGAUGUCAUCACAGUCCACCGAAUACAUUCGGAUGAUAUCACAACCCACCAUACACAUUCUGAUGACAUCACAGUCCACCAUACACAUUCUGAUGACAUCACAGUCCACCAUACACAUUCUGAUGACAUCACAGUCCACCAUACACAUUCUGAUGACACCACAACCCACCAUACACAUUCUGAUGACACCACAACCCACCAUACACAUUCUCCAGAUUGUGUCUUGUUCACAUUGACAGUUAAAGAUGUAAAAGGCAGCAGAGCUGUAACAGAGCUGUAACAGUGCUGUAAUGUUAUGAUGUCUAUUGGUGCGUUAAUAAAUUCACUCUGACUAUCUAAUCCUAUUCCAGAGCACUCAUCGUCUGAGUGUACCAGAGUCCAAAAUAACUAAUUCAUUUAUGAGCACCCAUUGAAUAUGAUCGGUGUCAGUAAACGUUGGCAAAGAAAUGUAAAUAUAUUGUUGUCUGCAGCACAAUUACAGUCACCAAUGCUUUGGAUAACAAGAAAACAUCCUAACCAGCUCUGCUAUGGUGAAUGAUCAGAGUGAGGUGUUCUGGAAGUAGCUAGCUAGCUAGCCAACUUUAGCCAGUUAUGUUGGGCGCAUGACAGCUGUUGUUAGGUCAGAACGCUCUGAUUAACCCUUCACCACCUGAGUGUCCAGUGUGAGCUCUGAUUUCUCCAAGAGUGAAACGCUCUGAAUUGACUAAUUCUGCACUCCAGAGUGAAUUUACGAACAAACCCUAUAACUAGUCUGGUUGUAGUCUUUUCUUUAUGAGGUAACACAGAGACCUAUAGCUACUAGGGCUGGAUGUAUUAUUGCUAUAUUCAGUUCACUCCAAUUCAGUCUAUCGCUAACCCUAACUUCACUGUAAGGGAAAUUAAACCAGUUAUGGGUUUGUUGAAGUGGAUGGCCUAUUGCAGGUCACUCGUCUGGUAUAGUUGUCUUAAGAUGAUAGGGUGAGGUGUAGUCUGGUAUAGAUGUCUGUAGCUGAUGGGGUGAGGUGUAGUCUGGUAUAGAUGUCUGUAGCUGAUGGGGUGAGGUGUAGUCUGGUAUAGAUGUCUGUAGCUGAUGGGGUUAGGGUGAGGUGUAGUCUGGUAUAGAUGUCUGUAGCUGAUGGGGUGAGGUGUAGUCUGGUAUAGAUGUCUGUAGCUGAUGGGGUGAGGUGUAGUCUGGUAUAGAUGUCUGUAGCUGAUAGGGUGAGGUGUAGUCUGGUAUAGAUGUCUGUAGCUGAUUGGGUGAGGUGUAGUCUGGUAUAGAUGUCUGUAGCUGAUAGGGUUAGGUGUAGUCUGGUGGUAGUUGUAGUCUAUCAGUUGAUGAUGUACGUUGGGUCUGGUAUUUGUAGUUCAUCAGUAGAAGAUGCAGGGUGGAUCUGGUAGUUGUAGUUCAUCUGUAGAAGAUGCAGGGUAGGGCUUGUUGUCCAUCAGUAGAAGAUGUAGAUUGGUUCUGGUAGUUGUUCAUCAGUAGGACAUGCAAGGUCGAUCUUAUUGUUAGUCAGUUGAAGAUGCAGGGUGAAUCUGGUAGUUGUAGUUCAUCAAUAGAAGCUGCAAGGUCAAUCUUGUAGUUCAUCAGUAGAAGAUGCAGGGUGGAUCUGCUAGUUGUAGUCCAUCAGUAGAACAUGCAGGGUGAAUCUGGUAGUAGUAGUCCAUCAGUAGAAGAUGCAGGGUAGAUCUGGUAGUUGUAGUCCAUCAGUAGAAGAUGCAGUGUGGAUCUGCUAGUUGUAGUGCAUCAGUAGAACAUGCAGGGUGAAUCUGGUAGUAGUAGUCCAUCAGUAGAAGAUGCAGUGUGGAUCUGGUAGUUGUAGUCCAUCAGUAGAAGAUGCAGGGUGGGUGUGGUAGUUGUAGUCCAUCAGUAGAAGAUGCAGGGUGCAUCUUGUAGUCCAUCAGUAGAAGAUGCAGGGUGGGUGUGGUAGUUGUAGUCCAUCAGUAGAAGAUGCAGGGUGGGUGUGGAAGUUGUAGUCCAUCAGUAGAAGAUGCAGGGUGGGUGUGGAAGUAGAAGAUGCAGGGUGCAUCUUGUAGUCCAUCAGUAGAAGAUGCAGGGUGGGUGUGGUAGUUGUAGUCCAUCAGUAGAAGAUGCAGGGUGGGUGUGGAAGUUGUAGUCCAUCAGUAGAAGAUGCAGGGUGUAUCUUGUAGUCCAUCAGUAGAAGAUGCAGGGUGGGUGUGGUAGCUGUAGUCCAUCAGUAGAAGAUGCAGGGUGGGUGUGGAAGUUGUAGUCCAUCAGUAGCAGAUGCAUGGUGUAUCUGGUAGUUGUAGUCCAUCAGUAGAAGAUGCAGGGUGGGUGUGGUAGUUGUAGUCCAUCAGUAGAAGAUGCAG
RNAcentral lists this long non-coding RNA (2424 nucleotides) under Salmo salar (Atlantic salmon). Its description in RNAcentral is "lncRNA (ENSSSAG00000115316.1)". Lineage: Eukaryota; Metazoa; Chordata; Actinopteri; Salmoniformes; Salmonidae. The record is from RNAcentral.